Molecule: ribosomal RNA, 257 nt
Filed under: uncultured bacterium
Lineage: Bacteria
Description: partial 16S ribosomal RNA
Rfam family: Bacterial small subunit ribosomal RNA
Source: RNAcentral
UACAGAGGGUGCGAGCGUUAAUCGGAAUUACUGGGCGUAAAGCGUGCGUAGACGGUAGCGUAAGUCAGAUGUGAAAGCCCCGGGCUCAACCUGGGAACUGCAUUUGAGACUGCUCUGCUCGGGUGCGGAAGAGGGAAGCGGAAUUUCCGGUGUAGCGGUGAAAUGCGUAGAUAUCGGAAAGGAACACCAGUGGCGAAAGCGGCUUCCUGGUCCGACACCGAAGCGUUCAGGCAGCGAAAGCGUGGGGAGCAAACAGG